RNAcentral lists this ribosomal RNA (454 nucleotides) under uncultured bacterium. Its description in RNAcentral is "bacterial SSU rRNA". It matches the Rfam family "Bacterial small subunit ribosomal RNA", at positions 923 to 1379 of the family's 1533-position model. The record is from RNAcentral.
GCACAAGCGGUGGAGCAUGUGGUUUAAUUCGACGCAACGCGCAGAACCUUACCAGGGUUUGACAUCCUGUGCUACACCCGGAAACGGGUGGUCCCCGCAAGGGGCGCAGAGACAGGUGCUGCAUGGCUGUCGUCAGCUCGUGUCGUGAGAUGUUGGGUUAAGUCCCGCAACGAGCGCAACCCUCGCCUUUAGUUGCCAUCAUUCAGUUGGGCACUCUAGAGGGACCGCCGGCGACAAGCCGGAGGAAGGUGGGGAUGACGUCAAGUCCUCAUGGCCCUUACAUCCUGGGCUACACACGUGCUACAAUGGCGGUAACAAUGGGCAGCCAACUCGCGAGAGUGAGCUAAUCCCAAAAAGCCGUCCCAGUUCAGAUUGCACUCUGCAACUCGGGUGCAUGAAGGUGGAAUCGCUAGUAAUCGCAGAACAGCAGGCUGCGGUGAAUACGUUCCCGGGC